CGAGCUGUUUAUAUGAUGGUGAAGACGGGAGAUUCAGAGACAGACUGAAGGUGGACUAUGAGACUGGAUCUCUGAUCAUCACAAACAUCACAACUGAACACACUGGACGUUAUGAAGCAGAGUAUGACGAAGAAAACAAGCCAAACAAAAGAAAAAUAUUGAACAGACCGGUCAGCGAAAAACGGUGUGAGAAAGCAAAAGACACCAAAAAAGGCGACCUUGGCAAAAUAAUCAAAUCAUUCAGUCUGAAAGUCAGUGAUGUUUCAGAUUCAGGUCUGUCUCCAGCUGCUGUAGCAGGAAUAUUUGUUGCAUUUCUGCUGCUGGCUGCAGCUGUUGGUGUUGGUGUGAUUGGUGUGAUUUACUAUCGCCACCGCACCUUCAAAAAUGACCAGAAGAAAUUCAAACAAGUGCUGGAACAAGUGUCUGAGGAUGAGAAGCAGAAUGAAGAAAAGCUCAUGAUCUGAGAAGAAUGCAACUGCUUGCUCUAAAAAAAAUGCAGUAGGAAAAUAGUAUUUGGUUUGAGCUGAAAUAUGGAAGUGCUUUGCAGACCUCUCAUUAAUGAUUAAGUGCUUUUUGUGUCCUGUUAUGGAAAUAUUAAAACAGCUGUUACUGGAAGCAUAUAUAUUAUUAACAGUGUGAAGCUCACACUCAUAUUGUCUUUCUUGGUAAUUUGUAAUUUUGGAAUUAAAAUGUCCUGUAAUUGUCAAAGAAAUUUUUCCUUCAAGGACAUUUUAACUUUAUUGUAAACAUGCAUAGUACAAGCUACAUUUAAACUUUGGCUUAUUAUCUGAUAUUUGCAGCUUAUAAACCUGCAGUAUAUGUAAUAUUUCAACACAUGCUUUUAUCCAAAACGACAAAAUAGAACUUCUGCAGCUUGUUAUAGUUAACGUGAUAAUUCUGUUUUUUGUUUGUUACUUGUAAAAAAUGCUU
Carassius carassius (crucian carp) is the source of this 930-nucleotide long non-coding RNA. RefSeq lists it as uncharacterized. Lineage: Eukaryota; Metazoa; Chordata; Actinopteri; Cypriniformes; Cyprinidae. The record is from RefSeq and is a predicted model, not a curated record. The transcript is spliced from 4 exons.